Molecule: small RNA, 124 nt
Filed under: Marmota monax (woodchuck)
Lineage: Eukaryota; Metazoa; Chordata; Mammalia; Rodentia; Sciuridae
Source: RNAcentral
GCUGGGCAUGGUGGCACCUGCCUGUAACCCUAGCAGCCGGGAGGCUGAGGCAGGAGGAUUGCGAAUACAAAGUCAGCCUUAGCAACAGCAAGGCACUGAGCAACUCAGUAAGACUCUGUCUCUU